Molecule: small nuclear RNA, 108 nt
Organism: Heterocephalus glaber (naked mole-rat)
Lineage: Eukaryota; Metazoa; Chordata; Mammalia; Rodentia; Bathyergidae
Source: Ensembl
GUGCUCACUUUGGCACCAUAUAUACUAAAAUUGGAAUGAUUCAGAGAACAUUAGCAUGGCCCCUGUGCAAGAAGGAAAAGAAAAGGAGUGGGGGUGGAGAAAGGCUCU